GUAGAGCCUCCGCGUGGCACUACGUCACCCAAUCCCCCCAGGGCAGGAAUGCAGCAAGGGUAAGUGGCCUCUGGUGGGUGCGCGGGGGUUUUCUGUAAUA
This 100-nucleotide signal recognition particle RNA is filed under the name Gardnerella vaginalis HMP9231. Its description in RNAcentral is "Bacterial signal recognition particle RNA". It matches the Rfam family "Bacterial small signal recognition particle RNA". From Rfam's summary of the family: The signal recognition particle (SRP) is a universally conserved ribonucleoprotein involved in the co-translational targeting of proteins to membranes. Archaeal SRP consists of a 7S RNA and homologues of the eukaryotic SRP19 and SRP54 proteins. The record is from RNAcentral. Lineage: Bacteria; Bacillati; Actinomycetota; Actinomycetes; Bifidobacteriales; Bifidobacteriaceae.